This 498-nucleotide ribosomal RNA is filed under the name uncultured bacterium. RNAcentral's name for it is "partial 16S ribosomal RNA". It matches the Rfam family "Bacterial small subunit ribosomal RNA", at positions 28 to 507 of the family's 1533-position model. The record is from RNAcentral.
GACGAACGCUGGCGGCGUGCCUAAUACAUGCAAGUCGAACGAGAGCGACCGGUGCUUGCACUGGUCAAUCUAGUGGCGAACGGGUGAGUAACACGUGGGUAACCUGCCCAUCAGAGGGGGAUAACAUCCGGAAACGGAUGCUAAAACCGCAUAGGUCCUCGAACCGCAUGGUUUAAAGAGGAAAAGGGCCGCAGGCUUCUGCUGAUGGAUGGACCCGCGGUGCAUUAGUUAGUUGGUGAGGUAACGGCUCACCAAGGCCGUGAUGCAUAGCCGACCUGAGAGGGUGAUCGGCCACAUUGGGACUGAGACACGGCCCAAACUCCUACGGGAGGCAGCAGUAGGGAAUCUUCCGCAAUGGACGCAAGUCUGACGGAGCAACGCCGCGUGAGUGAAGAAGGUUUUCGGAUCGUAAAACUCUGUUGUUAGAGAAGAACAAGUGCUAGAGUAACUGUUAGCGCCUUGACGGUAUCUAAACAGAAAGCCACGGCUAACUACGUG